CGAUAUCAAUAAGCGGAGGAAAAGAAAAUAACAAUGAUUCCCUUAGUAACGGCGAGUGAAGGGGGAAAAGCUCAAAUUUUAAAUCGGCGCAGGUUCUACCUGGUCGAGUUGUAAUUUGAAGAAGCGUUUUCCGCGUCCAGGUUGGCCCAAAUCCUUUGGGAUAAGGUAUCAUGGAGGGUGAGAAUCCCGUCCGGCUGACCUUCAGGACGUUUUACGAUACGCUCUCAAAGAGUCGAGUUGUUUGAGAUUGCAGCUCAAAAUGGGAGGUAAAUUUCUCCUAAGGCUAAAUACCGGCGAGAGACCGAUAGCGAACAAGUACCGUGAGGGAAAGAUGAAAAGAAUUUUGAAAAGAAAGUCAAACAGUACGUGAAAUUGUUGAAAGGGAAACGAUUGAAGCCAGUCGUACCGACGGGAAUUCAACUUCUCGAGUGCUAAUCGUGGGUGACGUUGAGCCUCACGGCCUUCGUUGCUUGUGUUUUUGGUGCUUUUGGGGUGUACUUUUCCGUAUUGGUAGGUCAGCAUCGAUUUCGAUCGUCAUAAAAUGAUCGGGGGAAUGUAGCUUCGGUCUCGUAUCGGAGUGUUAUAGACCUUGGUAGAUGUGACGAUUGGGAUCGAGGAUUGCAACGAAUACCCUCUGGGCUAUCCGUCUGACCUCUGAAAGUCGCUCGGGUGUCGAAAGCGUGCUUAUGGCUAUUCGAGUUGGCGGUCAAUAGGUUAGAACGUGAUUACAUUCGUUAAGGAUGUUGACGUA
This 751-nucleotide ribosomal RNA is filed under the name uncultured Glomus. RNAcentral's name for it is "eukaryotic LSU rRNA". It matches the Rfam family "Eukaryotic large subunit ribosomal RNA", at positions 38 to 633 of the family's 3401-position model. The record is from RNAcentral. Lineage: Eukaryota; Fungi; Glomeromycota; Glomeromycetes; Glomerales; Glomeraceae.